GAAGCGCAUUGGAAAGCACGUUGAAGUUCUAAUCCAAUGAUCGUGGGUUCGAAACCCACCUGCGAUG
Non-coding RNA from Trichonephila inaurata madagascariensis, 67 nucleotides. The record is from the annotation of a GenBank genome assembly. Lineage: Eukaryota; Metazoa; Arthropoda; Arachnida; Araneae; Nephilidae.